RNAcentral lists this ribosomal RNA (460 nucleotides) under uncultured bacterium. RNAcentral's name for it is "partial 16S ribosomal RNA". It matches the Rfam family "Bacterial small subunit ribosomal RNA", at positions 338 to 795 of the family's 1533-position model. The record is from RNAcentral.
CCUACGGGAGACAGCAGUGAGGAAUAUUGGUCACUGGCCGGCCGGAUGAACCAGCCAUGACACGUGAAGGUCAGUGCCCUAUGGGCGUUAAACUUCUUUUGUGCGGGAGCAAUAAUGGUCACGUGUGGCCAGACGAGAGUACCGUACGAAUAAGCAUCGGCUAACUCCGUGCCAGCAGCCGCGGUAAUACGGGGGAUGCAAGCGUUAUCCGGAUUUAUUGGGUUUAAAGAGUGCGUAGGCUGUGAGGUAAGUCAGCGGUGAAAUGCCCCCGCUCAACGGGGUGAAGUGCCAUUGAUACUGCCUGGCUGGAAUGCGGAUGCCGUGGGAGGAAUGUGUGGUGUAGCGGUGAAAUGCAUAGAUAUCACACAGAACACCGAUUGCGAAGGCAUCUCACGAAUCCGCGAUUGACGCUGAUGCACGAAAGCGUGGGUAUCAAACAGGAUUAGAUACCCUUGUAGUC